GGUAGAUGGGACAGAGAGAAAGUGAGGUGUUUAAACGCUCGGAAAUCAUCUUCUAAUUUAGGAACCGAACUGCAAGGUAUCUUUCUCCCUUAAUGGCUUGAGCUGGGAAUCUGGAUUUUGACCCUCUUCUCUUGCCAGGCCCCCAAAACGUCUUCAGGCAUCAACAGAGGGCAAGGGUGAGGCUUCAGGGCGGCAGUGCCAUCCCGGUCUGGAACCCGAGGACUCAGACCCAGAGCCCCUCCCGGCCUCUGUCGACUCCAGCUUCUGCCGGCUGUCAUCGCCCGUCGUCGCCGCUGUUGCACGGUCGUUAUUAAGCACUUUAACACUUGCACAAGGAGUGUGCAACUCUCCAGUGACGCUCCACCCCGCAUCGCUGUCGGAGGAGAGCUGCAAUUGUUCUCCCUGUUUUGCACACGAGAAAAUGAAGGGCUGGGAAGGAAUAUGGAUACGAUGGCAGGAGCUAAAGCAGCCCUUUUAGACCACAAAGUGGAAGCCACCUGUUGAGGACGUCAAGCAACAAGACAGCCAGAGUCUGAAUCCCAGAUGACGUGGAACCACCACAGCCCACUGGACACGAACCCUUGGGCUGUUCCAUGGAGACGCUUAAACUUUUAUUUUGUUCAAGAUAGUUAUUUUCGCUUUUAUGACAGCAGCUGCACUGAUAUCCUGACCAAUACAAGAUUUAAAACAGAUUUUAGAACUAUUUAGAACAGAUUUUGGAACUAUUUUAGGCCGAGCUUUUUAAAACAAGCAUCAGUGACUGGAAAGUUAGACUCUGCUCAAAAAUACUGUUAAGGACUCUGCUCUCCAGGGAGAUUGAACAGCAAGCAUACAGUAAGGAGCAGUGUUUGGUGAGAAGAAACUCAACGUCUAAAACCCCCCUGGAACUGAGAUGUUUGGUAAGCCAAGCUCCCGGUCAGCAUCCCGGCCACGCCAAGCUCACAGGGGAUGCAGCAACCUGCUUCCUAGUAGCCGCCACACAAAUCCUGAGAUGAACUCUGAUUGGACCAACUUGUACCACAUGCCCUUCCCUGAACCAAUCAUGGUGGCCGUUGUGCUUUGGCUGCUCUGAUUGGCUGGUGCUAAGUCCCUUGCUUGUUGUCGGGCUGGGGUGUCACAGGAACACCCUGGACAGAGAGAACUUAUGGAAGGGGUGGUUCCCACGGAAAGGCAGGGUGCCUGGCACAGAAGAGCAUGCAAUCGAUGCAGGAGGCCCCUGAAUUAGCCAGCAUCCUUCAAACUCACGGGAUGAAAAGAAAGAAAAUUUAGAAAAUAGCAUAAAGCAUCGGGGGUCCCGGGGGGGAGUUGCUGUGGGAUUUCCCAUCAGCCGCUCUGCACAAUUUCUUUUUGGCAAAUGAAAGUAUUGAGCCCGGCUAGCUCUUCCUGCCAACGUUCAACAAGCGUGACUAUCCCCAGAAAGUAACUCAACAAAUCCCAGCAAGAGAUGCCCCCGGCUGGAGACGGAAAGGACAUUUCCAAAGCUACCGAUGACGUCCUCUGUGUUUCGGUAAUUUUCUGUGAAACACAGCAAAGGAGUUCAUUUGAAAUAAAGGGGGCAGUUAUGUACCAAAGGGUGGGGUGGGGGGGUGGCUUGUUAAUGCCACGGGAGAGAUGCUUCUGCCCAGCGAGAGGAGUCGUCUGCAUUAUUUCAGGCGUGCUGUUUACUGGAAGGACAGCAUGUGCCACUCUGUUCUUUUGGGGAGUUCUAAAAGAGGACUGUUUACCCUUGCAGCUAGUUGCUAUCUCAGUUUGGAAACCCCCAAAGGCAGAGCUUGUACCUUAGUUUGGGUUUCUCCAGAGGUGGGCCCUGAGACAAAGAUUCGAGGACGAAUAAUUUAUUAGGAAGGCGAAUGACAUACCAGUAGGGAAGAGGAAAGCGAGCCAGCAGAGGGAGGACAACAAAAUCAAGCAAGUUAUCAGGACGGUUACUACUGUGGGCAGCUGGAGCCGCCCGGUGUGGAGCACGCCUCUCAGAGGGACCCUGCUUGAUGGACCAGAGGGCUGGGGUGUUUGUACUCAGCCUCCUUGUGCGAUGGUUGACAGCUGCUGGGCAGAAGGGAGGGAGCAUGAAUUCUCCAGCGCCUCUAGCCUGCUUGACUCCAACAGCCAGGAAAAAGCCCAAACUCAUGCAGAAGGAGGAGAAGAAUUGCGAGACAUAAAAAUGUCCCACUGCCAAUGCCAGAAGUUCCAGCUCUGAGCGGAGGGCCCGAGUUACCCUGGGGAUAAACGAAGAUGAGUACUACACAGCCCGCGCCUGUGAGGGGCACCUCGCCAGCUGAGAGACUCACACGAGGAUUGCUGAGGCCAACACAGGAAGACGGGUCCACGCUGCCACAGAGGCGUGCACGAAGGCUGAAGUUCUGCUUUCGCCCCACCCAGAUAGAGAUCUCGCUCCCAAAAUGAAGAAGUAAGGAGAGACGAGAAGGACCGUGGUGACAAGCUGAUGCUGGUGCUUUCCAGAAGACCAUGACUUCCAAAGCAACCGGUGUUCUGGGGAAGGAACGUGGCUGAAUUUGAGACCCGCGGGGAAGAAGGAAGGCAGAGGCUGAAGACAAAGGCAGCGUAUCAGCACGCCUUCGGCCGCAUGGAACAAAAAACCCAACCCAAAGUGGCUUCAACAGUAAAAAUGUUUAUGAUCUUUACGAAGAAAUCCAGAGCUGGGUGGUUCCAGGGCCGGUUCCACACUCAACAAUGUUGCCAAGGACCCAGGUGCUCUCGGGGCACGUUUCCUCCCGUGUGUCUCUUACAAGAGGGGACGCCUUUCCCAGGAGCUCCCGGGCAGACUCUGCUUCACGUCCCCUUGGCGGGAAUUGUGUCACACGUCCAAACUCUAACCGCAGAGGUGACUUCGAGAAGGGACAGCUCACUGUCCCAGGCUCCAUUAGAACGGGUGAGCCAAGAAGAAGGCGGAAGGAUAUGAUGAAUAACCAAAAGUAUUGGCCUCAGAGGGGAAUUAACACUCACGGGGCACUGUUUCUGACCCUAGUUGUCCCCAAAAUUUCCAGCUUCCUCUUUAAUAUCUGACUAAUUAUAGAGCCCCAUGACUCUAAGAAGACCAGACUUUGUCAGGUUCUUUCUGCAGGGUGUUACUCAGAAGGAGGGAUGUCCACGUGUCCAUGGACCACCCGUGUGGCUGCUGGGCAGCUGCAGUGAGCCGUGCGUCUCUGGACUCCUACUGCCCUUGUCUGCCGCCUCUUCACUGCUGGCAGCACACGCUGCUCCUGUCUCCAACACCAUCUUGACCUGGAGGUGGUACCCAGCCCUCUCCCUUGACAGCCCCAAAAACAUGGCCCAGUUAAUGAGAAUACAGGUUUGAUUACUAUAACUGAGACUCCAGCUAGCAGUGGCUUACACAAGGCAGAAGCUAAUUUUGGACAAUCAAAAUGAUGCCUCUAAGCAACAGGAUGACGGACACGUGCGCGUCAGCUGAGAUCAGUCCUUCUUAUGUCCCUCUCGUCUAACAGUCCUUGUGUGAUCAGUCUGGGGAUGACGGGGCAGGCCCACGGGGUCCAGGUCCCAGGCUCCUUCUAUCUUGUUCUUUUCCAUGCCUUCCAGGUUGCCCUUGUUUGCACAGUUCAAAUUGGAGCCCACUGUGUCCCAUUCCAGGCAGCAGGAUAGAGGAAAAGGUGAAAGAAAGAACUGCCCCCACCCCCUGCCCAAUCCCCUGGGCAUUUGAAGGCAUGAUUGAGAAGUAGACCACGUCACUUCCACCCACAUCUGAUUGGCCGGCAUCUAGUCCACGGCAACUCUAGCUGCGAUGGAAGCUGGGAAAUGUAGCCUUUAGCUGGGAAGCCACGUGCACGGCUAUAAUCCUAUUUCUACGAAAGAAGAGGAGAAUUGAUAUUGGGGACAUUACUAUCUUACCCAAAAGCUAAGACGAGCCCAUAGCAGGGAACGAAAGUUUACUGAGCCCUUGGCGAUAACAGGUGGGAAUUACAAUGCAGAAAAGGAAAAUGCAAAAUGAAGUUGUAAACAGCCUGGAGCCCACGAGCCUGCAUUGGGCUGUGGUCGUCACCCUCCUUUCUCGCCAGCCUGCCGCCGUGUUGUGGGAGCCAGCCUACCUCCCACGGAGGGGGGCUUCCUAACCCUUUCUCUUCAGAAUUUAGCGCCCUCUCUUCCUCACCUACCCCAGCUACAGGCAGUGGGAACAUCCAUUCUUCAGAGGAAAGCUCCGUCCACUGUGUGGGUCCCCGUGGCCCAGGGGAGGCCAGUGUGAGAGUCGUAAGCACACUCCCCCCGCAAGUCUGGGUGCCUCUGCUUUGGGUCACUCCACGGGUGGGUCCUCUCUGUGGGUCUCCCUCCCGCACAAGGGGAAGAACCGUUCAGGCCAGCCCCUCCCUCUCUGCACAGUUGGGUCUCCAAUGGAACACCAUGUCUAUCUCCAAAUACAAAAACUACCGGAGCAAAUUCUUCACCCAAAAGACACACAUCUCUUCCAAGGACUACCAGGAACGCUUCUAGCUAAAGCUUAGAACUUAAUUUCUUUUCUCUAAGGCCACUGUCCUGCUACAGAUGCUCAACUUAUAGACAUUAUGCCAUCAGUGCUGUGUGACAGUGGACAAGUUACAUAACCACUCUGUUUCCUCAUCUAUGAAAUGAGGCUAUGACAGACCUCACAGGGUUGUUGGGAAGAUCUAGAGAGAUAAUGGAGGUAAAGCGCUGGCUUAGCACAGAGCCUGGCUCACAGUCAACGCCCUACACAUGUAGCUGUUACAAUUAUCGUUACUAAACAGUAGUGAACAACUCAAUAUGGGGAAUUUGUAUUUGGAUAAGGUCACUUAUCCAGUCAUUUUUAGGACUUAUAAGGUCACUUUUAGAACUUCCCCCAAGAGCAGUGGCUCCUCCCAGAAUAAAGGAGGAAGACCAUUUCCAUCUCCAAAGACAGCAACUGCUCCUCACCCACUUCAAGAACUUGAAAGUCUGGACCUCACCUCCAGAACCGGCUGCAUGAUUUGCGAGGCCCAGUGCAAAACGAACAUGCAGGGCCCCUCGUUCAAAAAUAUUAAGAAUUUCAAGACAGCGGCGGCAGAGCACUAAGCCAGGUGCAGGCGCUGCUGAGCGUGGGGCCCUGCGCCACCGCGCAGAUUGCACACGUGCCCAAGAGCCGGCCCUGCUCACCUCCGCCAGCAGGACAAACACUGGAGUUGCAAAGCAGCGGCUGCAGUGCACGCUGUGAAAACGCCUGGAGGCACUCGGCAGGCUGCUUUCUCCACUCAGCGACCUACCCAAUAUUAAUAACAACAGCCACGUUAUCUGGUCCUUGCCGUGAACUAGAGACCCGGCUGCGACACUCUCUCGUCCACCUGUCACAUCCUGCCUUCACGUGAAAGGUGGGAAGGCAAGCAUCAGAGAGGGUGAGAAACUUGUCCAAGGUCACACAAGCUCAGGUCAGCCAGAUGCCGGGACCUGCGCCCAGAACCACCACGUGCGUGACAACAGUGUCCCCCCCGCCUCCAACCCUCUAAACUGAAGGGCAUUGCAGGGACCUCCGGAACCCUCCCAGACCCUGCGGCGAGGAAAGCAUGGGGCCAGGUCUAGUUUCCAUCCCUGGGUCUAACUUCCCUCCUCGAACCUUCCUCUAUGCCUCUGAGCGUCUUUUCUCAGAACCCACGUGACCCCAGUUCCCCGCGAGCGCCGUCUCCUCCCCCCACUGGGCAGUCACCCCUGCGGGACAGACAGCUCUGGAUUACAUUUACGUAUCCAUUUUUAAAGGCUUGGAGUAAAGUCUAGAAUAUUUUCUGGGGGUGGAGGGUGCGGUAGGCUUCCUAAGGCUGGGGAAGAACCCAGUGAGGACGUGAGCGAGGAGCUUCUGGGCUGCUAACCUUCCUGUGAGUUCUGAAACAGUGCAGAAUUCAUGUAUCUUGAUCAAAUUUCAGAACCGGAAGCAGCAUCUAAAGCUAAACUGAGUUCCAAUUCUGGCUCUACCAUUUCUUAGCUGUGUGACCACGGGCAAGUUAUUUAACCUUUCUGUGCCUCAGUUCAAAUGGGGAAUAAUAAUAGUGCAGGCUUCACCGUGUUGUUGUAAGUAAUAAUUAUGAUCACUAUUAUUAUCUCUUCAUUGUUAUUAUUAUUUGUUCAGAGCUCAUGGGAGUUCUUGGAGAGACUGUGUAGCAUCAUGGCUGAGAGUAAAGAUGCUGAAACCAAACUGCCUAUAUCUAAAUCCCACUUCCCUACUUAUAGCUGUGUGACCUUGGUUAAGAAAUUGACCUCUCUGGGCCUCAGUUUCUUCAUUUGCCAAUGUUUCCCUUGGACAGAGAGAUGGCAGGUGAGACUCAACUGGACCAAUGACAUUCAAGGCCAGGACUUCUGCUGGGACCACCAGGGAAAAGAAGCCCUCUUUCCAUCAGGGUUGCUGAGCUGGCAGGAUGUGAGCCUGGGAUGGCUGGGGCCAUCCUGGUUACCUCGGGAGGAGAGCCUGCCUGAGAUAAAUCUAAAGAGGGGGAAGCAGAUAAGCGAGCUAGAGAGACAGAGUCGUGAUGACAUUGUUGGAGCCCCUGGAUGCGGCUGUGCCUGAAGCAAGCCCUCUUUGGACUUCCCAGUUUCAUGAGGCAGCAAAUUCCCCAUUUUGUGAAAGCCACUUUCAGUCGGGUUUUUCUCACUGGAAACCAUCUGGGCUGACACCAGGAGGUUAAGCAACUUGCCCGAGGCCUGAAAGCUAACAAGUAGCAGACGCAGGCUUUAGGAGCUUCUGCCCGCUGUGCCCAGGCCAGCAUCCUGCAUCUGGAUGCUCCCGGAUUUCACCUCCCUCUCCUCUCUGAGCAGCCGUGUUCUCAUCGGCAACGUGGGUAACAGCAGGCUCGCAGGGCUGCUGGGAAACGUGAAACACGAGAUAACACUGGGCUGAGUGCUGCUAGUGGCCAGCGGCCGAACUCUGCGCAUCCUGUCUCCGGCGCUGUGGGCCCGGGCCCGGCCCCCGGGGAAUGACCCAUCCCAGGGAAGGUCUUUGGCUGACCCCAAAUCAGCCAGCAGUCAAGGCGCCCAAACUGUUAGGAGAGCAUGUGCGAAUCUGAGAGGGACGGGCCACUUCCUUUCCCGGCCCUGUGUCCUCCCUGGUGCACAGAGGGAGCUGGGUGACCCUGAGGACCCCGGAGCUCCGAGUCCACGAGGUGGAAAGAAGUGCUGUCAACUUGCUUUCUGGAACCUUCCAAGGACUCUUGGGCUCAUCUGGGAAUGACCCGUAGCUCGAGGAAGACAGCACUGAAGCAAAUCAACUUGUCUCUUUUCUUCAUGAAGUUCAUGUUUAGCGAUGGAGAUAAGCACAGAACACAGACACAUGACCUAGCACCACGUGGUGCCAGGAAGGAGAAGGGGUGUCCUCGAACAGCCGCUGAGUGCUAAGAAGAGAAGGGAGCGAGGGAUGGGGCUCUGUGGAGCAGGAGGCGUCAGGAGCGGCCUCCUGGAGGAAGCGACCGUUCAUCGGGGACAGUCGGGUCUCGCUCUGCAUCCCCAGCCCUCAGCACGUGCCGUCUCCCAGAAAAGAGCCCGGGCCAGAUUUUAGCGGGAAACUUGCUGAUGCUGCUAGCUUAGGAGUCGAUUAUCCAUUGGAGCCUUGGUAAACAGCCAUCCCUCUCCACUGACAACGCUUUUGGACAUUUUUAAAAGUUUAAUGGGUCAUUGAUUUCUUCCAUUAGCCAAAUCCAUGAAGGGAAGGCCCGAGAAGCCACGUGGGACCAUCCUCGGGCAGGCCUGCCAGGAAAAGGUUUCAGCUGUCACGACACACUUUGUUUACUCUCUAACCAGCCAUCACUGAAAGAUGCCCAGUCGCCACCAUCACGUCUGGGGGGUUCCAGGCCUCGGCAAGGAGCUAGCAGAGCCCUCCCCACGAAAGCUGAGCCUCAGAGAGCGGUGGAAGAUCCAGCACCUUGGGUCCCUCCACCAGGCCAAAUACCAGGCGCUUGGGACACGAACAAGAAGUCGAGGUCCCUGCCCUCAUGGAACAUUACGGGGGGGGGGGGGGGGGCAGGAGAAGGAAGCAAGCUGGCAAACAAUUGAGCAGGGGAAUUUUAGACAAAGAUGAGUGUGACGAUGUAAGAAACAAGGUCUGUGGUAGAGAGUGACUCGGGGCUAUUUUAGAAAGGGUGGCGAGAGAAGACCUGUCUGCAGAAGUGACAUUUGAUCUGAGACCUAAAGGGUGAGAAGAUCUGCAAGAAGAGUGGUCCAGGCAGAAAGGACAGCUGGUGCAAAGGUCCUGAGGUAGAAACUAGCUCAAUAUAUUAGAGGACUGGGCUGGAGUGGAAUGCAAGAAGAGGAGAGAGUUUGAGGAGGUGCCAGGGGCCACACGGGUCUUGUGGGCAAGGGUUAGGACUUAUUUGGGUUUCAUUCUAAAAAGCAUGGGAAACUAUUGGAGGGUUUUACAAAGAAGAGUUUCAUGACCCAAUUAUUAAAAUCUCUCUCUGGCUGCUGCUAUGUGAAGAAUUUACCCUCUGCCACUGUAGUAAGUUGAGUGGGGGCAGCCAAGAAAGAUACGUCCAAGUCUUCACCCUCAGAACCUGGAAGAUGACCUUAUUCAGAAAAAGGGUCUUCGCAGAUGUAAUUAAUUUAAGGAUCUCAAAAUGAGAUCAUCUUGGAUCACCUGGGAUUGACAAAUCAUCCUGGAUCAGGGUGGGUCCCGAAUCCAAUGACAGGUAUCCUUAUAAGAGGGAGGCAGACGGAGAUCAGACAGCUGCAAGAGGAAAAGACACAGAGAAGAAAA
Equus quagga is the source of this 8692-nucleotide long non-coding RNA. RefSeq lists it as uncharacterized. The transcript has 4 exons. The record is from RefSeq and is a predicted model, not a curated record. Lineage: Eukaryota; Metazoa; Chordata; Mammalia; Perissodactyla; Equidae.